AUAAAUAAUACCAUAGAAACAAUCCCUGUAAAUCAGUCCGCCAACCAUCAUCAAAGUAGUAUUUUCAGCGAUGAAAAACAAGUGAAACUCCAUGAAACCCAGUCCCGAAUACGCCUCCAAACAGUUUGUUUCCACCAUUAUUGCAGCCCAGUUGGAGUUCAAAAUUGAGAGGUUUGUUCGAGUUGAGGGUGCCAAUCGAGUCGCUGGAUUAUUGGUUCUUUUUCUUAACUGUAAUCCCACGUUGGGAGAUUCUUAAUUAACUGAAAGUAAAUUUUCCUCAUUAAGGUAUAUUUUCUUAAUCUUCAUUCUUUUUCCAUCUCUUUACAACUAGCUUAAU
RNAcentral lists this long non-coding RNA (337 nucleotides) under Nicotiana benthamiana. RNAcentral's name for it is "long non-coding RNA (NBEN_LNC042339)". The record is from RNAcentral. Lineage: Eukaryota; Viridiplantae; Streptophyta; Magnoliopsida; Solanales; Solanaceae.